GAGAUAAUUUUCAUGAACUGCUAAUUCAUAUUUCCGUAUUUAAAAAUACGGUUAUCUUA
This 59-nucleotide transfer RNA is filed under the name Neohylomys hainanensis (Hainan gymnure). RNAcentral's name for it is "tRNA-Ser". Lineage: Eukaryota; Metazoa; Chordata; Mammalia; Eulipotyphla; Erinaceidae. The record is from RNAcentral.